GCGGCUCCCGGUGAAGAAGAUCCGUAAGCAGAUGAAGCUGCUGCUGCUGCUGCUGCUGCUGAGCUGCGCCGCGUGGCUCACCUACGUGCACCUGGGCCUGGUGCGCCAGGGACGCGCGCUGCGCCAGCGCCUGGGCUACGGGCGAGUGGUGAGAAGCUGACCAGUGAGACCGACGGCCGGGGGGUCCACGCUGCGCCAUCCACACAGAGGGCUGAGGACUCCAGUGAGAGCCGUGAAGAGGAGCAAGCGCCGAAGGUCGGGACCUAGACAUGCUGUUUCCUGGGGGGGCUGGGAGGCUGCCACUGAACUUCACCCAUCAGACACCCCCAUGGCGGGAGGAGACAAGGGGCAGGUGAACCUGCACGUGUUUGAGGACUGGUGUGGGGGCGCCGUGGGCCACCUGAGGAGGAACCUGCACUUCCCGCUGUUCCC
RNAcentral lists this long non-coding RNA (432 nucleotides) under Homo sapiens (human). Its description in RNAcentral is "long non-coding RNA NONHSAT017240.2". Lineage: Eukaryota; Metazoa; Chordata; Mammalia; Primates; Hominidae. The record is from RNAcentral.